RNAcentral lists this ribosomal RNA (468 nucleotides) under uncultured bacterium. RNAcentral describes it as "partial 16S ribosomal RNA". It matches the Rfam family "Bacterial small subunit ribosomal RNA", at positions 28 to 507 of the family's 1533-position model. The record is from RNAcentral.
GACGAACGCUGGCGGCGUGCUUAACACAUGCAAGUCGAACGGAAAGGCCCUGCUUUUGUUGGUUUCUCGAGUGGCGAACAGGUGAGUAACACGUGAGUAACCUGCCCUUGACUUUCUGAUAACUUCACGAAACUCGGGCUAAUACCGGAUAGGAGCUCCUGCUGCAUGGUGGUGAUUGGAAAGUUUCGGCGUUUGGGGAUGGGCUCGCGGCUUAUCAGCUUGUUGGGUGGGUAGUGGCUUACCAAGGCUUUGACGGGUAGCCGGCCUGAGAGGGUGACCGGGCACAGUGCGCCUGAGAGACGGCGCAGACUGGUACGGGAGGCAGUAGGGGGGAAUAUUGCACAAUGGGCGGAAGCGUGAUGCAGAAACGCUGCGUGCGGGAUGACGGCUUUCGGGUUGUAAACCGAUUUCGCCUGUGACGAAGAGUGAGUGACGGUAAUGGGUAAAGAAGCACCGGCUAACUACGUG